This 329-nucleotide unclassified non-coding RNA is filed under the name soil metagenome. RNAcentral's name for it is "partial contains 5.8S ribosomal RNA, internal transcribed spacer 2, and large subunit ribosomal RNA". The stretch from base 1 to 120 matches the Rfam family "5.8S ribosomal RNA", at positions 35 to 154 of the family's 154-position model. The record is from RNAcentral.
GAUGAAGAACGUAGCGAAAUGCGAUAAGUAAUGUGAAUUGCAGAAUUCAGUGAAUCAUCGAAUCUUUGAACGCACAUUGCGCCCCCUGGUAUUCCGGGGGGCAUGCCUGUUCGAGCGUCAUUUCACCACUCAAGCCUCGCUUGGUAUUGGGCAACGCGGUCCGCCGCGUGCCUCAAAUCGACCGGCUGGGUCUUCUGUCCCCUAAGCGUUGUGGAAACUUUCGCUAAAGGGUGUUCGGGAGGCUACGCCGUAAAACAACCCCAUUUCUAAGGUUGACCUCGGAUCAGGUAGGGAUACCCGCUGAACUUAAGCAUAUCAAUAAGCGGAGG